This is a long non-coding RNA of Hippocampus comes (tiger tail seahorse), 211 nucleotides long. RefSeq lists it as uncharacterized. The record is from RefSeq and is a predicted model, not a curated record. The transcript is spliced from 2 exons. NCBI's taxonomy places the organism in Eukaryota, Metazoa, Chordata, Actinopteri, Syngnathiformes, Syngnathidae.
AAAAAAUGUUUGAAUUUUGUGCACAGAAUGAACCGCCUUUACAACUUACCCAGAGGGUUUGGUUCUUUGCCAGCACUUGAAGUUUUGGACCUCACCUAUAAUAACCUGAGUCAAAAUUCGCUGCCUGGAAACUUCUUCUAUCUCACAACUCUUCGCGCUCUAUAUCUGAGUGACAAUGACUUUGAAGUCCUGCCGGCUGACAUUGGAAAGA